AUUAAACGCUGGCGGCAUGCCUUACACAUGCAAGUCGAACGGCAGCACGGGGGCAACCUUGGUGGCGAGUGGCGAACGGGUGAGUAAAGCAUCGGAACGUGCCCUGGAGUGGGGGAUAACGUAGCGAAAGUUACGCUAAUACCGCAUAUUCUGUGAGCAGGAAAGCAGGGGAUCGCAAGACCUUGCGCUCUGGGAGCGGCCGAUGUCGGAUUAGCUAGUUGGUGGGGUAAAGGCCUACCAAGGCGACGAUCCGUAGCGGGUCUGAGAGGAUGAUCCGCCACACUGGGACUGAGACACGGCCCAGACUCCUACGGGAGGCAGCAGUGGGGAAUUUUGGACAAUGGGCGAAAGCCUGAUCCAGCCAUGCCGCGUGAGUGAAGAAGGCCUUC
Molecule: ribosomal RNA, 389 nt
Filed under: uncultured bacterium
Lineage: Bacteria
Description: bacterial SSU rRNA
Rfam family: Bacterial small subunit ribosomal RNA
Source: RNAcentral